AGUUGCGAGAAACGCAUUAUGACGCUGUAAAGUUAUUUCAUUAAUUCGAAGGAAAGUUUUGCAGCAGGAAAAAGGUUGCUAUUCCAGGUAAACAUGUCUUUUUCUCACAGGUUAUUUAGCCAAACUGUGGAUGCAUGAAAUUCGUGACUUAUGAAUAGAUUUUAAUUUAUUCUAUAGUAAUGCUUCUAAAAGAGACUAGAAAUAGCAUGUGACUACCUCUGCAAUCAGCAGACCAUACAUUUAGUCAUAAGUGGCAGUUCCAUGCAGUCUCGCACUUUAUAUAACCUUUCCUUUCAGCAACAUUGGAACUGGUGGCUGCGUUUUCAGAAGGAGAAGUGCACUUGACACUGUAUAUGUAUGUGUGAAUUCGGUUUUCUUUGUAUGUGUCGGCUCACUGACAAACAGUGCAAAAAUCUGUUGUACCAUGAGCCUGACGACGCCUUCUGCUGCUAGAAAUGCGGCACUUCGUAUUUUAUAGUACUGCAUGACAUUUAAAUCAAAGCUACCGCAUAAAAUGAUCAAGAAAACUAACCGCUGUUGUAGCUGUUUUCCUCAAAGAACGCUUGUCCUUUAUGGGCUGUGUUAAUCUGAGCUCUCCACCGAUGUUUCAGUAGUAUUAUCCCUUAGUGAGUGAGAGAUUGGGGGCAAUUAAUCGUGUUAGUGUUUAAGUGGUGUCCUAAUUAUGUGCAUUUGUUCCAACAAAGUUGUCUAGAUUACUUUAUUGUGUAGUGUAAAGCUUAUGAAACCAUCAGCAACUACUGAGUUGCUAACACGCAUAUGGAUUUGUCACUAUACAGGUGGAACUCGGCUGUACCACUGCAGUGCUGCGGAAAUUGCCUUCACCAGCGGCUUUGCAACAGCUGUUUCGCAGCAUGUCGGAUACAAUGCCUACGAAAUUAUUGGCCCUGAUCAUGAGAGCCCUCAAGGGGCAAACAACAUCGCUGUUGCGGAAGUGAGCCCGAUACCACUUGGAAGUUACCAUGACAGAUGACACGGCAGCAAUAGAUACAGAGACUGCCAUGUCUACUGCAGCUGCAACAGUGUACGAGGCAAGCAGCAGCGCGUCAGCAUCAGCAGCAGUGUCAGAAGGAACCACACCAGGCCUGGUAGAGCAACAUGUGUGCUAUCACUGACUUUUUUUGUAGUGGAUACAACUCAUUUGCUCAACAUACAAAAGCUUUUCACCACGACUGUGAGCCAGUGUUAUUGUGCAGCAAGUGCAAGACUAAGUUAGGUGUUAUAACACAGUAUAAGCAUCACUUUAAUAUAUGCAAAUGCAAACAUAUUACAGUUGUUGCCUCCCCAGCCAGCCCACAUAGUGACAACAAUGUGGAACACAUGGUGGGACACACCUCUCCCCCAUUACAAGAUAGUAGAGACUGUCAGUGUUGUUGCUAGAUUGACUGGUCUUUGUAGGCAACUAGAAGGACAACACAGGUGUCAUAAGAUUGUUGUUGAUGUUGUUGUUGAAGAGGUAAAAAAGAAGUUUGAUGCAGCUGAAGUGCCAACUGAUAUUGAGCAAAUCAAAAGCAACCACCUGAGAAAGCAACACUAUCGAAAUUUGGGUAUCUAUGUGCCGCCAACUCUGGUAAGAAUGGCAUAGGACAGAAGUGUGAUGAAAAUCACACAGACACUGCUGUUGCAUCACUGGCCACAGUGAGCAGCGACUUGUAGGGCAAGAGAGUCAACUGAAACUAACAUUAUGAUAUAGUGUCAUGCUCCCAUGUGACCACUUUUCAAGUUAUUUUGCUAGAUACAGCUCAACCUCCAGAAACGAAACUGCAACUUGUCUGUAAAAAAGCUUUCACAAAAAAUUAUUCAUAACACUAUUAACGUAGCAGUAUCUUUCUUUUUGUGUCGGUUCGAGGUUCCCGGCUGUCCAUUAAUGCAAAUAUUGAGGAAAAAAGGAACAUGUGUCGUACUUACACCUUUUUAACAAGUACGAGGGGGACAGAACUUUUCUAGUCAUGCAUCUUCAUCAUACUAUCAAGUUUUUAAAUGCCUUUUAUAAUUAUUAUUACCAGUUAUAUCUGAGUGCAUUGUAUGCAUGUAGCAGGUGUAAAAUCAGGUCAGCUGGAUCAGAUGCCUUAUCUGCAAGCGAGCCCUAUAUUCAAGAAAUUUGAAUUAAAAUAGUUACGUUAGAGACGCAGUCUUUCAGCACUUUAUUGCCUGUGGUUUAAGCAUUGCUCAAUACUUUUGUGGGUGGCAAUUUCAACCGGCACAGCACUGCGCUUUGCCACAGUCACAUUUGUCUUCAAAGCGGUGUUUACCAUUUGUGUUGAUGUGUUUGUGUAUGCAUAGAGCAAGUUUUUAAUUUAUAUUUUUCUGCAUUCUUGUGCUUGCACUAAGCUUGUAUAAGGCAGUUACAAAAUGUGCGUCACUAUAACGAACUGUUCUGUUGAGCUUACACUUGCAAAUAAUCGUGUUCAGAUGGCCGCACUUCUAUGCGGGUGCACCGCUAGCUUUGUGUAUGUUCUGAUGUUUGUAUAAAGCUUAUAUAAGCUAGUUAGAAAAUGUAUGUCACUAAGCAUUGUGAUAUUCUUUAAAGAACUGCUUGGUUGGUUUUACACUUGUGAAUUAGUAUUGAGGCGGUGGUAUUCCCAUGUAUGCCCACUGCUAGCUUUCUGUGUCCUCACGUGUUUGUAUUAAGUUUCUACAAGGGAGUUACAGCAUGUACGUCACUAAGCGCUGUGAUAUUUUUUAAAGAACUGCUUUGUUGGUUUUACACCUGUGAGUAAUAGUACUCGGGUGGCACUAGUCAUGUGUAGAUACACAGGGACCAUUUGUAUACAUUAUGCUCAUGUAAAGCAGUUACAAAGUGCAUGUCACUAAUUACUGUGAUAUUUGUUGAAUUGCUGUGAUGGUUUUACACAUAUGAAUAUUAGUGGUCAGGACACAGUACUUGCGGUGUAUAGUUGAAUUUAUACACUGCCAAGACAUGGGCUGUAUACGUACCAAAAGAAAUGUAUGUCAUCAUAUUGUUGUGAUUAUUACUGUUUGGAUUUUAUUAAACUGUAAUAAAAUUGUUUCUUGUA
This 3035-nucleotide long non-coding RNA is filed under the name Dermacentor andersoni. RNAcentral's name for it is "uncharacterized LOC126523539". Lineage: Eukaryota; Metazoa; Arthropoda; Arachnida; Ixodida; Ixodidae. The record is from RNAcentral.